RNAcentral lists this signal recognition particle RNA (271 nucleotides) under Candidatus Omnitrophota bacterium. Its description in RNAcentral is "Candidatus Omnitrophica bacterium signal recognition particle sRNA large type". It matches the Rfam family "Bacterial large signal recognition particle RNA". From Rfam's summary of the family: The signal recognition particle (SRP) is a universally conserved ribonucleoprotein involved in the co-translational targeting of proteins to membranes. Archaeal SRP consists of a 7S RNA and homologues of the eukaryotic SRP19 and SRP54 proteins. Lineage: Bacteria; Pseudomonadati; Candidatus Omnitrophota. The record is from RNAcentral.
UCAUGCUAAGCGGGGAGAUAGCGGUGCCCUGAACCUGCAAUCCGCUAUAGCAGGGCUUAAUUCCUUCUUGGAGGUCUUAUUUUUUCUGGGUUUAAGAUUUAAGUAAGGGACAUUGAAGGUCGGCUCCUGUGCGACAGAGAAUUACGAACUCCGUCAGAUCCGGAAGGAAGCAGCGGUAAGUAACCAACUCUGGGCGCCGCAGUGUUUCGUCUGGCUGGAGUCACCUACUUGAUAAUUGCCAAGAAAGAAAGAACGAAAAGAAGGUGUAUGA